Molecule: ribosomal RNA, 468 nt
Filed under: uncultured bacterium
Lineage: Bacteria
Description: partial 16S ribosomal RNA
Rfam family: Bacterial small subunit ribosomal RNA
Source: RNAcentral
GACGAACGCUGGCGGCGUGCUUAACACAUGCAAGUCGAACGGAAAGGCCCUGCUUUUGUGGGGUGCUCGAGUGGCGAACGGGUGAGUAACACGUGAGUAACCUGCCCUUGACUUUGGGAUAACUUCAGGAAACUGGGGCUAAUACCGGAUAGGAGCUCCUGCUGCAUGGUGGGGGUUGGAAAGUUUCGGCGGUUGGGGAUGGACUCGCGGCUUAUCAGCUUGUUGGUGGGGUAGUGGCUUACCAAGGCUUUGACGGGUAGCCGGCCUGAGAGGGUGACCGGCCCCACUGGGACUGAGAUACGGCCCAGACUCCUACGGGAGGCAGCGGUGGGGAAUCUUGCACAAUCGGAGGAAGCCUGAUGCAGCAACGCCGCGUGCGGGAUGACGGCCUUCGGGUUGUAAACCGCUUUCGCCUGUGACGAAGCGUGAGUGAGGGUAAUGGGUAAAGAAGCACGGGCUAACUACGUG